GAGUGUUGCCACUUUUCUACAUUUUAAAUCCUAGCAUCAGAGGUUUGUUCAUAUGUAGCAGGAGGUCAUCUGAAGUAGCAGGUCCUCCUUUUUUAGUUUUUUCUUAGGAGUUGGGUGAUAGAUAUAUGGUGUGUCAUAGUCGUUUGGGAGUCCGGCAUCGGAAACCUCCUUUAAUGCUUGGAUUUGUGGUUUUGCAGGUAUGGGCGGAGCUGCCAUUGCCCCACCCACUUCUCUGGUAGAGAAAGACAAAGAGUUACCCCGAGAUUUUCCUUAUGAAGAGGACUCAAGACCUCGAUCACAGUCUUCCAAAGCAGCCAUUCCUCCCCCAGUGUACGAGGAACAAGACAGACCGAGAUCUCCAACCGGACCUAGCAACUCCUUCCUCGCUAACAUGGGGGGCACGGUGGCGCACAAGAUCAUGCAGAAGUACGGCUUCCGGGAGGGCCAGGGUCUGGGGAAGCAUGAGCAGGGCCUGAGCACUGCCUUGUCAGUGGAGAAGACCAGCAAGCGUGGCGGCAAGAUCAUCGUGGGCGACGCCACAGAGAAAGGUGUGUCCCCAGGGAAGCGUGUGACUAGAGGGAAAGGACUGGCCCCAUCCGUAUCAGACAUG
This 610-nucleotide small RNA is filed under the name Pan troglodytes (chimpanzee). Its description in RNAcentral is "processed transcript". The record is from RNAcentral. Lineage: Eukaryota; Metazoa; Chordata; Mammalia; Primates; Hominidae.